Molecule: ribosomal RNA, 440 nt
Filed under: uncultured bacterium
Lineage: Bacteria
Description: partial 16S ribosomal RNA
Rfam family: Bacterial small subunit ribosomal RNA
Source: RNAcentral
CCUACGGGCGGCAGCAGUGGGGAAUAUUGGACAAUGGGGGGAACCCUGAUCCAGCGACGCCGCGUGAGUGAAGAAGUAUUUCGGUAUGUAAAGCUCUAUCAGCAGGGAAGAAAAUGACGGUACCUGACUAAGAAGCCCCGGCUAACUACGUGCCAGCAGCCGCGGUAAUACAUAGGGGGCAAGUGUUAUCCGGAUUUACUGGGUGUAAAGGGAGCGUAGACGGCAGGGCAAGUCUGGAGUGAAAGCCCGGGGCCCAACCCCGGGACUGCUUUGGAAACUGCCAUGCUAGAGUGCUGGAGAGGUAAGCGGAAGUCCUAGUGUAGCGGUGAAAUGCGUAGAUAUUAGGAGGAACACCAGUGGCGAAGGCGGCUUACUGGACAGUAACUGACGUUGAGGCUCGAAAGCGUGGGGAGCAAACAGGAUUAGAUACCCUGGUAGUC